RNAcentral lists this small RNA (656 nucleotides) under Histoplasma capsulatum. RNAcentral's name for it is "hypothetical RNA". The record is from RNAcentral. Lineage: Eukaryota; Fungi; Ascomycota; Eurotiomycetes; Onygenales; Ajellomycetaceae. RNAcentral also lists the same sequence under 1 other name.
CAUCAAUUGGUCCACCAGCGUGGAUGGACUGUUUCCUUGGGUGUUGGCUUGGACACCAUGGCGCCCAUUUUGUGCCGACGAGAGAACCCCACAUUGCCAAAUUUUGUGUGGCGGAUGAGGGGUACUAACAGUGAUUCUGGUUUUCCCCUUAGUUAUCUCUUUUUGCCUUUUGGCCCUGCAGGAGAAAGAAAACUAAUUUAGACAGCCGUUAUCGGCGGCAGUUGGGCGAACUGCCCUGAGCGUUGGAAGAAACUUUAACCAAGAUAUCGGCAGUAGUUAAAUCCGUGAAACUUCAUCAUAGCAACUUGCUUGAAUGAAGUGCAAUUCCUCGGCUAUUGGGCUUUUGAUCUGUGAAUGGACUGGUUUCCGGCUCGUUUGCCACUCGUCACCUCUCGCUGGUUAAUCAUUACACGGGGGUCGUUGAUAUAUGGUUUUUAAACGAAAAGAAGAGAAGGUUUAUGUCAAAAUACAUCGGCUGGUUAUAAAAGAACGUGGAAAUGAAAUUGUCUAUUGGAGUUGGAUGCUCGUAUGUUAAUAGAUCAUAAGCCUUUGCUACUAUUUAUUGACAUAAUAUAACAAGCGUUCUAAGAAUACGGAUUUACUGGUCUUAUGAGCAACUCGCAGCCAAGUACAGAGUAGUCUAUAUAUAAUGGAGA